This 527-nucleotide ribosomal RNA is filed under the name uncultured marine bacterium. Its description in RNAcentral is "bacterial SSU rRNA". It matches the Rfam family "Bacterial small subunit ribosomal RNA", at positions 355 to 896 of the family's 1533-position model. The record is from RNAcentral.
CAGGGAAUAUUGUGCAAUGAGCGAAAGCUUGACACAGCGACACCGCGUGUGGGAUGACGGUUCUAGGAUUGUAAACCACUUUCAGGAGGGAAGAAAUGACGGUACCUCCACAAGAAGACCCGGCCAACUAUGUGCCAGCAGCCGCGGUAAUACAUAGGGGUCAAGCGUUGUCCGGAUUUAUUGGGCGUAAAGAGCUCGUAGGCGGUUCAACAAGUCGGUCGUAAAAGUUUAGGGCUCAACCCUAAAACGUAGAUCGAUACUGUUGUGACUAGGAUACGGUAGAGGUGAAUGGAAUUCCGAGUGUAGCGGUGAAAUGCGUAGAUAUUCGGAGGAACACCAAUUGCGAAGGCAGUUCACUGGACCGUGAUCGACGCUGAGGAGCGAAAGCUAGGGGAGCAAACAGGAUUAGAUACCCUGGUAGUCCUAGCUGUAAACGAUGGAUACUAGAUGUAGGAACUGGAUUGACGGUUUCUGUAUCGUAGCUAACGCGUUAAGUAUUCCGCCUGGGGAGUACGGUCGCAAGACUA